RNAcentral lists this ribosomal RNA (631 nucleotides) under Copepoda environmental sample. RNAcentral's name for it is "SSU rRNA". It matches the Rfam family "Eukaryotic small subunit ribosomal RNA", at positions 532 to 1162 of the family's 1831-position model. The record is from RNAcentral. Lineage: Eukaryota; Metazoa; Arthropoda; Copepoda.
CUUUAACGAGGAACAAUUGGAGGGCAAGUCUGGUGCCAGCAGCCGCGGUAAUUCCAGCUCCAAUAGCGUAUAUUAAUGUUGUUGCGGUUAAAAAGCUCGUAGUUGGAUCUCGGCGGGCAGGGGGCGGUUCGAUAUUUGUCGCUACUGCCCCAUUUGCCCGUGUUUUUGGCGGAGGUUUCGGGGUGCUCUUAAUCGAGUGUCUCGGGAUGCCGUCAGGUUUACUUUGAAAAAAUUAGAGUGCUCAAAGCAGGCUUUACACGCUUGAAUAUUCGUGCAUGGAAUAAUAGAAUAGGACGUCGUUUCUAUUUUGUUGGUUUUCGGAAAUCGACGUAAUGAUUAACAGGGACAGUCGGGGGCAUUAGUAUUCAGACGACAGAGGUGAAAUUCUUGGACCGUCUGAAGACUAACUACUGCGAAAGCAUUUGCCAAGAAUGUUUUCAUUAAUCAAGAACGAAAGUUAGAGGUUCGAAGGCGAUCAGAUACCGCCCUAGUUCUAACCAUAAACGAUGCCAGCUAGCGAUCCGCGGGUGUUUUUCUCUUAGGCCCCGCGGGAAGCUUCCGGGAAACCAAAGCUUUUGGGUUCCGGGGGAAGUAUGGUUGCAAAGCUGAAACUUAAAGGAAUUGACGGAAG